RNAcentral lists this ribosomal RNA (441 nucleotides) under uncultured bacterium. RNAcentral describes it as "partial 16S ribosomal RNA". It matches the Rfam family "Bacterial small subunit ribosomal RNA", at positions 338 to 795 of the family's 1533-position model. The record is from RNAcentral.
CCUACGGGAGACUGCAGUGGGGGAUAUUGCACAAUGGGGGAAACCCUGAUGCAGCGACGCCGCGUGGGUGAAGAAGUAUUUCGGUAUGUAAAGCCCUAUCAGCAGGGAAGAAAGAAGACGGUACCUGACUAAGAAGCCCCGGCUAACUACGUGACAGCAGCCGCGGUAAUACGUAGGGGGCGAGCGUUAUCCGGAUUCACUGGGUGUAAAGGGAGCGUAGACGGCCGUGCAAGCCAGGAGUGAAAGCCCGGGGCCCAACCCCGGGACUGCUGUUGGAACUGGGCGGCUGGAGUGCGGGAGGGGCAGGCGGAAUUCCUGGUGUAGCGGUGAAAUGCGUAGAUAUCAGGAGGAACACCGGCGGCGAAGGCGGCCUGCUGGACCGCGACUGACGUUGAGGCUCGAAAGCGUGGGGAGCGAACAGGAUUAGAUACCCCAGUAGUC